RNAcentral lists this long non-coding RNA (597 nucleotides) under Rattus norvegicus (Norway rat). Its description in RNAcentral is "long non-coding RNA NONRATT032513". The record is from RNAcentral. Lineage: Eukaryota; Metazoa; Chordata; Mammalia; Rodentia; Muridae.
AAAUACUUCAGAAUGUGUGAUUGUGGCCACACUGGGAUGGUUAAGACUGUGUAUGAAAAGCCUUCUUUGGUUGUUAGAUUUGGGGCUUUACAAAGGUGAAAACGUAUGGUCUUGCUUCCUUACAGAGCCCAUAUUCGUAUACUUGAGCACUGCAGCACCCGACCAAGACCACUGCAUGGAGGCUGCAGUUCUGGGCCACAUCCUCUGGGCCACAAAGGCUUCUGGAGGAGGGGUUCCCAUGUGUGAUGGCAAACAACUCUCACCAUGGCAUUUGGCCAUUUUCAAUCAUUUCCCCAGAGACUGAGCUCAUGCGGUCAUCAUUCACCAUCUACAUAGAUGUUCGAAUAAAAAGCCAGGGCUGAGAAUACUUGGCCUGUGUCAACUGAAUCCCCAUGCAUGGAAACUCGAGAGUAUCCAGGAUAUCAAUCUAUAAAGCCCCUGUAUUCUCCAAAGGGAUGUAGCUUGACCAUAAAAUGGAUGUAACACACAGUGAACAAUGGUAGCUUCCUCUCAAAUGUCUCCUGAGCUGUCCAAGUCCUGCGUUUAGCCCCUUUACAUUAUCUGUCUUUUGUGGUAUUGAGACAGGGUUUCUCUGUG